Molecule: RNA transcript, 558 nt
Organism: Zingiber officinale
Lineage: Eukaryota; Viridiplantae; Streptophyta; Magnoliopsida; Zingiberales; Zingiberaceae
Exons: 3
Source: RefSeq, a predicted model, not a curated record
AAAGGAAACUUGAAAUCUGUUUGGGAGGAAGCGAGCUGCGGAAAGUAGGAAGUGUAAGCUAUAGCCUUCUUUAUCAUCAAAUGUCCUUCCCCAUGACAGAAAAGCAGUUUUUACAUCCGAUUUACGAGGUAUUAUCGCUCACCGCGAUUUGACGCCAACGCCGACUUGGAGAUCCUUCGGAUACCGCGAGACAGCCGGAAAAGGCGAGAGCUUUGGGAGAAAAAAACAAAGGAAGAUGCCGUGCUCUUCGUCUUCGGGGUCGCAGGAGGACGAGGGCGUGGAUGCCUACCGCGAGGGACGCUACCAAGCGGUCAGAAUUGGGAACCAGUUCGCCGGCUGGCGCUACGUUGCGCAGAGGAAGCUAGGCUGGGGGCAUUUCUCCACCGUCUGCCUCGCCUAUGACACCCGAUCGCAGUAUGAAUUCCAAAAUUAUUGAAGACAAUAUUACACUUGGAAGGAUUGGAUGGUGACCUCAAGAGGACCCGAAGACCCAAAUUCUGGCUGCCACUAGACAAGCUACUAGUUGAGAAAUACAAGUUUCCUGAGGCUGAUGCCUGC